GCCAGCAGCUAGCCCCCUGCAACUUUCACAUGGUCGCCCACUGAAGCCAAGCAGGGCUGCACCCGCUCAGUACCGGGAUAGGAGCCCACAUGGGAAAGCUAGGUUGCUGCUGGAA
Danio rerio (zebrafish) is the source of this 115-nucleotide ribosomal RNA. Lineage: Eukaryota; Metazoa; Chordata; Actinopteri; Cypriniformes; Danionidae. The record is from Ensembl.